CAAGCCUUUAACCAGUGCCCGUUUUCACCGCAACGAUAAUAUAUAGUUUAUAAACUAUUUGCCUUUGGGUUCUUAUCGUAUCGUGUUUGUGGCAGAGUGACCAACUUCAGGUUGUCAUCUCUUCUUUAAGCCAUCUCACAAGAUAGGUGGAUCUUUGACUGUGAUAUAUUCAAUUUUCAAACCUUCAUCAAGGUGAUGGCGCAAGUAAAUCAAGGCNN
This 218-nucleotide long non-coding RNA is filed under the name Nicotiana benthamiana. RNAcentral describes it as "long non-coding RNA (NBEN_LNC014671)". The record is from RNAcentral. Lineage: Eukaryota; Viridiplantae; Streptophyta; Magnoliopsida; Solanales; Solanaceae.